AAAACAAAAUGAAACAAAAAGCUGACUCGGCACCAAAAAUUGGAAAGUUUAAACUUUUUAAUACUGCACAAAACUUAGGAACAUUUAAUACUUAUCUUGCAACUCAGAGUUAAAUCACCAAAAAUUGUAUUAAAUCAGUAAAAAAAAAUCAAUUAAACUUGAAGAAUUUAUAAAAUAAAAAUACAAAAGUUCACAGCCAAAAAAUUACAGCUUAAGAGUUUGAAGUUUUGCCACCUUCAAAACAGCCGAUUGAACAUGCACAAGAUACAUGUAAUAUAGAGCAUUUCAAAAAACUGCGUUGACUAAGUCCAAACAGUUCGACGAACAAAUUCCAAAGAAAGCGAAGACUGGGAUUCACAAAUUGUGAGCUCCUCCGACUACUUGGAGAAUGGCCAAACGACCACCAUGACCACUAAUCCGCUCCAUAAUCUUCGCCGUCGUCAAAUUGCUGAAAUUAGGCUAUGAACUUCUACACCAUCGACCGUGUUCUCCAAUUUUGGCUCCAUAUGGCCAAAUUUGAGUCGAAUGAUCGCCACCAAGGAGGCCGACAUUGAAGACCUCCGAAAAACUUAUUUUUUAGACGGGCUAAUGAAGUUGGAGAAUUACUGAAUUAAGUGUAUCAAGCUAAAGAGAGGCAAUGCAAAAGAAAUAAAUCGGCAUUUUCGAGAAAUUUUAAUUUUCCUUUGUAAGCUGAAUGUUUUUUUGGUCUAUAGACGAACGGACGAAAAACCAUACAAAUGGGGUUGAAUAAAUUCUUCAAAAUAAUUGAAA
Molecule: non-coding RNA, 771 nt
Organism: Bactrocera oleae (olive fruit fly)
Lineage: Eukaryota; Metazoa; Arthropoda; Insecta; Diptera; Tephritidae
Source: RefSeq, a predicted model, not a curated record